GAUCCUAGCUCAGGACGAACGCUGGCGGCAUGCCUAACACAUGCAAGUCGAACGGAGAUAUUUGGAAGCUUGCUUUUGGAUAUCUUAGUGGCGGACGGGCGAGUAACGCGUGAGCAACCUGGCCUUCAGAGUGGAACAACGUCUGGAAACGGGCGCUAAAUACCGCAUAAUACAAGAGAGUCGCAUGGCUUUUUUGUCAAAGGAGAAAUCCGCUGAAGGAUGGGCUCGCGUCCGAUUAG
RNAcentral lists this ribosomal RNA (239 nucleotides) under uncultured bacterium. RNAcentral describes it as "partial 16S ribosomal RNA". It matches the Rfam family "Bacterial small subunit ribosomal RNA", at positions 15 to 244 of the family's 1533-position model. The record is from RNAcentral.